CGCUCCCAUGGCGCACAUUACCAUUAACCAGUACCUGCAGCAGGUGUACGAAGCCAUCGACAGCAGAGAUGGAGCAUCUUGUGCAGAGUUGGUGUCUUUUAAACAUCCUCAUGUUGCAAACCCACGACUUCAAAUGGCCUCUCCAGAGGAGAAGUGUCAACAAGUCUUGGAACCCCCUUAUGAUGAAAUGUUUGCAGCUCAUUUAAGGUGCACUUACGCAGUGGGGAAUCAUGACUUCAUAGAGGCAUACAAGUGCCAGACCGUGAUAGUCCAAUCAUUCUUGCGAGCAUUCCAGGCCCACAAAGAAGAAAACUGGGCUCUGCCUGUCAUGUAUGCAGUAGCGCUUGACCUUCGUGUGUUUGCCAAUAAUCCGUGCUGGUAUAGAGGACUCUAAGAAGUGGGGCAUGCUGUUUCUGGUGAACCAGCUGUUUAAAAUCUACUUCAAGAUCAACAAACUCCAUUUAUGUAAACCCCUAAUUAGAGCAAUUGACAGCUCAAACCUGAAAGACGAUUACAGCACUGCACAGAGAGUAACAUACAAAUACUACGUUGGACGCAAGGCUAUGUUUGACAGCGAUUUUAAGCAAGCUGAGGAGUACCUGUCAUUUGCCUUUGAGCAUUGUCACCGUUCUAGUCAGAAGAACAAAAGGAUGAUUCUGAUCUAUUUGCUUCCAGUAAAAAUGCUAUUGGGUCACAUGCCC
RNAcentral lists this small RNA (701 nucleotides) under Pan troglodytes (chimpanzee). Its description in RNAcentral is "processed transcript". The record is from RNAcentral. Lineage: Eukaryota; Metazoa; Chordata; Mammalia; Primates; Hominidae.